AAGCUCGUAGUUGAAUUUCGGAAUCAAUGGGUCGGUCAUGCCAAUGGUAUGUACUGGCCUCUUUGGUUCUCACCUUCUAAGGAACCAUAAUGUCAUUUAUUUGAUGUUGUGGGAAAUUAGGACUGCUACCUUGAAAAAAUUAGAGUGUUUAAAGCAGGCCAACGCUUGAAUACAUUAGCAUGGAAUAAUGAAAUAGGACAUCGCAUUCUAUUUUGUUGGUUUCUAGGAUCGAUGUAAUGAUUAAUAGGGAUAGUUGGG
This 258-nucleotide ribosomal RNA is filed under the name uncultured Glomeromycotina. RNAcentral describes it as "partial 18S ribosomal RNA". It matches the Rfam family "Eukaryotic small subunit ribosomal RNA", at positions 624 to 886 of the family's 1831-position model. The record is from RNAcentral. Lineage: Eukaryota; Fungi; Glomeromycota.